UUAUUUUUGAUUAAUUUACGAUAUACAAAAGUGUUGUGUUUUACAUCUACAUUUACAUUUAAGCCUACAGCAUACAUUAUCCUUUUCUACUUAAACAUAAUCAUUUAUACAAUUGAAAUUGAUUUGUUAGAGAUUAAACUAAAUACGGGGAAAAAGCGUAUAUAAAAGCCCAAUAAGUGGAUAGAUAGGUCUAAUAAAUCAGUAUACAUAUAUACAAUACAUAAACACUUUAUGUAUUGUAUAUAUGUAUACUGAUUUAUUAGACCUUAGAGUAAAUAUAAAAUUAAAACUAACUUAAAAUUAACUACUGGCUACUGCUGCUUCGGCUUGAUAGAUUUAUACAUAUAUAUUGCGUACAUUAGCUUAGCAUAAAAACUUUUCCACACACGACUGCCACACGACGUGCAGUUUCGCUUGGCAGUUAUCGACAGCCGAGGCCCACUGUGUCGUCUGGCCAGCUUUGACGCUGCUGUUGGUUGUUGCUGCGUUUCGGCUCGGUUCGAUUCGUUUCAGUCCACUUUAAGCUUCCGGCGCAGGCGGUUGAGUUCGGUGCUCGGUUCGUCAGCUCUCGCUUCGAGCAAGUGGAUGAGAAUCAUGCCAGGGCUAGGGCAAAGAGACUAACAAAACGCAACGCAAACCAAAUACACAAUAAUCUAAUUAACAAAAAAAAAAAAGAAAGGCAAC
Molecule: long non-coding RNA, 684 nt
Organism: Drosophila mojavensis
Lineage: Eukaryota; Metazoa; Arthropoda; Insecta; Diptera; Drosophilidae
Exons: 2
Source: RefSeq, a predicted model, not a curated record